UACGUAGGGGGCUAGCGUUGUCCGGAUUUAUUGGGCGUAAAGAGCGUGUAGGCGGCCAGGUAGGUCUGCUGUGAAAACUCGAGGCUCAACCUCGAGACGUCGGUUGAAACCGUACGGCUAGAGUCCGGAAGAGGAGAGUGGAAUUCCCGGUGUAGCGGUGAAAUGCGCAGAUAUCGGGAAGAACACCCGUGGCGAAGGCGGCUCUCUGGGACGGUACUGACGCUGAGACGCGGAAGCGUGGGGAGCGAACAGG
This 253-nucleotide ribosomal RNA is filed under the name uncultured bacterium. Its description in RNAcentral is "partial 16S ribosomal RNA". It matches the Rfam family "Bacterial small subunit ribosomal RNA", at positions 524 to 776 of the family's 1533-position model. The record is from RNAcentral.